RNA transcript from Dreissena polymorpha, 1042 nucleotides. RefSeq lists it as uncharacterized. The record is from RefSeq and is a predicted model, not a curated record. The transcript is spliced from 3 exons. Lineage: Eukaryota; Metazoa; Mollusca; Bivalvia; Myida; Dreissenidae.
CACAAUAAUUUGAAAUAAUGUUUAAAAUGUAUUAACAUUUUAUAACAAGUCUGGUUGUAUUAGAUAUAAACAUGACUCUGCCUUGUCAUUGGAUUUUUUCCCCUACCCUUAAUUCCAAAAUGGUGGAAGAUAAUGGCAGCUCUGCCUUCUUGUUAAGCCACUACGCUUGAGCAGACGGCCAUUUUCAAAGAUAGCGGCGUGGUUUAAACUUCAGGCCUUUUAAGAUCUACAUAGGGACCAAAUAGUGUCAAACAAUAUCGUUGUUGUCCACUCGCGAUUUUUUUAUAAAAGAAUUGCAGUCACGGGUAAACUCUGACGGUCGAUCGGAUGAAGAAGAGCGUGACAUCCUGGUAGGAAAGUCGAAAAGUCCGACAAAGAUGAGAUCAAUUUACAUACAGGAUGCAACGGUGGACAGAGUAAAAGUGGCUUUGUGGAGAAACACCAACAAAGACGUCAGAACUGGGGAUUACGUCAAAAUCACUGAUUUGACAAUACACACUUACCAAACAAAGUACACAACUGAAACCAGCUUCAAUUCUACCUACACAACUUCAGUUACUAAAGUCGAACAACCAACUGUACAUGUGACGGUUACAGUAAUAGGUGCCUGUGUACAAGAUGACGUUACAGAACUUCUCCUCAGUGAUGACUCUGUGAGGGCAAUACCUUCACAAUUAUUAAUGGCUGCCCUUCCACAAGAACUUGAUGAAGACUUGGAUCCAGAAUCUUUCUUUGCAGAGAGAAAAACAAACUUAAGGCUGCAAUUAAAAGGAUCAGAAGUACUUUCAGUGAUACUUCAGUAAACUGUUAUACAUAUACAUGACAUUAUUCAGCAUUCCUAGUUUACCUUGUUUUUCAUAGUGUUUUUUUUAUAUAAAUCUACUACUUUUUCAUACAUUUUACAACAAGCUCCUACUUUUCCUAGUUAUGCCCCUCUUCGAAGAAGGGGGAUAUUGCUUUGCACAUGUUAGUGUGUUGGUCUGUCUGUCCGUCCACCACAUGAUUGUCUGAUGAUAACUCAAGAACGCUUAGGCCUAGGAUC